RNAcentral lists this ribosomal RNA (479 nucleotides) under uncultured bacterium. RNAcentral describes it as "partial 16S ribosomal RNA". It matches the Rfam family "Bacterial small subunit ribosomal RNA", at positions 28 to 507 of the family's 1533-position model. The record is from RNAcentral.
GAUGAACGCUAGCGGGAGGCUUAACACAUGCAAGCCGAGGGAGAAGUUGUUUUCGGACCACGUACACCGGCGGCCGGGUGAGUAACAUGUAUGCAACUUGCCUCUAUCAGUGGGAUAACCCGGGGAAACCCGGACUAAUACCGCAUAACAAAUGGAUCAGCAUUGAUUUAUUUUAAAAGAUUUAUCGGAUAGUGAUAGGGAGGCGUAGGAUUAGUUAGUUGGUGAGGUAAUGGCUAACCAAGACGAUGAUCCUUAGGAGGCAUGAGAGGGUGAUCUACCAGACUGGUACUGAGACACGGACUAGAAUGCGACGGGAGGCAGCAGUGAGGAAUAUUGGAGGAGGGGUGAGAGCCGGAUCAAGCCAUCCCGCGUGCAGGAAGACGGCCAUAGGGGUUGUAAACUGCUAUUAUACAGGAAUAAACCUACUCACGUGUGAGUAGUUGAAGGUACUGUAAGAAUAAGCAUCGGCUAACUCCGUG